AACAUACGAAAGCAAUAACAUUAUCAUCAUCAUGAAAUCAUAUGAACUGUAUAACAGAAUACUUACCACGCCUUUGCAUAUCAAUCAUUAAACAAUAUAUUUUCCUCAUUUAUCAGCCUACUAGUAUCCAUGGGGAUCCAUAGGGGUCCCGCUACCCGUGAACCCUUAACAUUUAUAACCUGAUUCCAGGGCCGUCCCCAUACCCCG
Molecule: long non-coding RNA, 207 nt
Filed under: Carica papaya (papaya)
Lineage: Eukaryota; Viridiplantae; Streptophyta; Magnoliopsida; Brassicales; Caricaceae
Description: long non-coding RNA (CPAP_LNC015331)
Source: RNAcentral